This 353-nucleotide unclassified non-coding RNA is filed under the name soil metagenome. RNAcentral describes it as "partial contains 5.8S ribosomal RNA, internal transcribed spacer 2, and large subunit ribosomal RNA". The stretch from base 1 to 120 matches the Rfam family "5.8S ribosomal RNA", at positions 35 to 154 of the family's 154-position model. The record is from RNAcentral.
GAUGAAGAACGUAGCGAAAUGCGAUAAGUAAUGUGAAUUGCAGAAUUCAGUGAAUCAUCGAAUCUUUGAACGCACAUUGCGCCCGCCAGUAUUCUGGCGGGCAUGCCUGUUCGAGCGUCAUUACAACCCUCAGGCCCCCGGGCCUGGCGUUGGGGAUCGGCGGAAGCCCCCUGCGGGCACAACGCCGUCCCCCAAAUACAGUGGCGGUCCCGCCGCAGCUUCCAUUGCGUAGUAGCUAACACCUCGCUACUGGAGGGCGGCGCGGCCACGCCGUAAAACACCCAACUUCUGAAUGUUGACCUCGAAUCAGGUAGGAAUACCCGCUGAACUUAAGCAUAUCAAUAAGCGGAGGA